CAAUAUGACCACCUUGAUGCUGCUAGUUGAUUCCGAUCCUAGCUAUGGAUAUGCUAUGAAUGCCCUUUUUGUUGUAGGAUCUCCUGAGAAUCUCUUCGAACCGGAAAACAUAAGUUUUUUUUGAGGUAACGAUACUGAUCUGGAGAAAUUACUCCUUUUGGGCUGACAUGGGAGCCAAUUUAGGAACCACUAACCAAUCUGGUUUGAUCAGGUCUGCCGCGGAAAAAAUCCCGAGUGAUUUCCCUUGGUCAUCAGCGACCUCGUAGCAACUGGUGCCCUUUUUGGCCACAAUGACGCAGGGCACAUAUUGAGGACCGAAUUUGGAAUUAUAGUGGUUCCCUGCUGACGACUGACGGAAGGUUCUUUUAAAAACUCGCUGUCCAAUGGAAAACGAGGCGAUCGUAUGGAUGUUAGCAGCCAGCAUUGCAAUUUUGCAGUCUUCCCGAGUAUUCCUGAAGAGGACAUCGAAUUUCCGGCUUUCGUCCCACUGGUAUGACAUGUUCCGGAAAAUGCGGACCAUGUCCAAAUAAUAGUCCUGGAACUUUUCGCGUGGAGCCUGCCUACGAGAAUUCAACAUGCGCUCGUACUGAAAGUCGAUAUCGACAGAUUUCAACAAUGCCCGCAAGGUACGUUCGCGUUUGGAGCGGGAAUCUUCCGGCGCAAAAGCAUUGCGUAUGCGCAACUCAUGGCUGAGUUCGUCUUCGGAAAGGUGGGCCGUAUUCAACGAAGCGUAUAUAGAUUUUAGUUGGUUCAACUCCAUUGUAUGACGUGGUAAGAAUUUACAGAAAUAUAAUUUGAAACAACACUUUAAUAGCAAAACAAUGAACAAACGACUCAGAAAUAAAUAAAUUAAUUAAUAGUAAAAUUUAGACGAUAAGUAUCACAGUAUUUUAAGCAUGAGCAAUAAAGAUAAUUUGUUUUGCUGUUGUGUUUUUGAUUUUCCGAGAAUACACUCCACAAAUGAAAUUCGCUCCAAUUCAAAAUUUAAAACUUUAAACAACUUCACUCCGACAUAUACUUUUUAAGCAAUCGUGUUGAACAAUUUCCUUUGACAUCAGAACUCCUAUAUGACUAAUGAAUAGAUCAAGGUUGUGCAAAUAAACGUUAAAUUACCCCAAUUUUAGCAAAAAUUAAAAUGAGAAGGCAUGGGCGUUUUCCCAGAGAUGCAUGCAAGAAACUGGUUGAGCCUCGCUGCGAUAUCCGUGGUAAGUCUAUGGAAAGUUGGGCGCCAAAUAUGUAAGUAUUAAACCUACCACUCCCACCGGCGUGUAAGAGAUUCCCUUUUCUAGGCCUCAGGGCGGCACGCUUACAAUCAAAAUCGCAGGGAGCUUCCAGAAUGCACUCAG
Uranotaenia lowii is the source of this 1346-nucleotide long non-coding RNA. RefSeq lists it as uncharacterized. The transcript has 4 exons. NCBI's taxonomy places the organism in Eukaryota, Metazoa, Arthropoda, Insecta, Diptera, Culicidae. The record is from RefSeq and is a predicted model, not a curated record.